RNAcentral lists this ribosomal RNA (497 nucleotides) under uncultured bacterium. RNAcentral's name for it is "partial 16S ribosomal RNA". It matches the Rfam family "Bacterial small subunit ribosomal RNA", at positions 28 to 506 of the family's 1533-position model. The record is from RNAcentral.
GAUGAACGCUGGCGGCGUGCCUAAUACAUGCAAGUCGAGCGAACAGACGAGGAGCUUGCUCCUCUGACGUUAGCGGCGGACGGGUGAGUAACACGUGGAUAACCUACCUAUAAGACUGGGAUAACUUCGGGAAACCGGAGCUAAUACCGGAUAAUAUAUUGAACCGCAUGGUUCAAUAGUGAAAGACGGUUUUGCUGUCACUUAUAGAUGGAUCCGCGCCGCAUUAGCUAGUUGGUAAGGUAACGGCUUACCAAGGCAACGAUGCGUAGCCGACCUGAGAGGGGGGAUGGGCCCACGUGAAAUUGAAAACGGGUCCAGACCCGUCGGGGGGCAAGAGGUGGGGAAUCUCCCGAAAGGGGCGAAAGCCUGAGGGAGCAACGCGGGGUGGGGGGUAAAGGUUUUGGGAUCGAAAAACCUUGUUAUUAGGGAAAAAAAAAUGUGUAAGUAACGAUGCCAGUUUUGGGGGUACUUAAGCAGAAAGCCCCGCCAAAUUACGG